GACUGGGUCCUGCUGGGCUCGCCAGCCCUUGGGAAGGAGCCUGGGGUCUGAGAGAAGCUGGACGGCUCAGCUCGCGUUGUGGAGUGUCAAUGCUCAGGGUGAUCUGGGGAGCCACAUGUGAAGUGGUGGAGCCCCUGCCGGCCAAACGCUGCCCUUCAUUGCCUGCUCCCUACAGGCCUGCAUGGACCGGGACGUGUUGAAUAGAACCAUCGACGUGGACAGCCCUUCUGUUAUUUCGUUAAACAUUCCGUCUGCCCCACAACACACACGUAA
Molecule: long non-coding RNA, 273 nt
Organism: Tupaia belangeri chinensis (Chinese tree shrew)
Lineage: Eukaryota; Metazoa; Chordata; Mammalia; Scandentia; Tupaiidae
Exons: 3
Source: RefSeq, a predicted model, not a curated record